CAAUAGCGUAUAUUAAAGUUGUUUGCAGUUAAAAACGACUCGUAGUCGGAUUUCGGGGCCUGCCUGCCGGUCUGCCGAUGGGUAUGCACUGGCAGGCGCGUCCUUCCUUCCGGAGACUGUCCCUACUCUUAACUGAGCGGGGUCGGGAGACGGAUCGUUUACUUUGAAAAAAUCAGAGUGUUUACAAGCAGGCAGCUCGCUCUUGCAUGGAUUAGCAUGGGAUAAUGAAAUAGGACUUUGGUGCUAUUUUGUUGGUUUUCGAACACCGAAGUAAUGAUUAACAGGGACAGUCAGGGGCACUCGUAUUCCGCCGAGAGAGGUGAAAUUCUCAGACCAGCGGAAGACGAACCACUGCGAAAGCAUUUGCCAGGGAUGUUUUCACUGAUCAAGAACGAAAGUUAGGGGAU
This 407-nucleotide ribosomal RNA is filed under the name uncultured eukaryote. RNAcentral's name for it is "SSU rRNA". It matches the Rfam family "Eukaryotic small subunit ribosomal RNA", at positions 592 to 998 of the family's 1831-position model. The record is from RNAcentral.